This 97-nucleotide transfer RNA is filed under the name Thermofilum sp. RNAcentral describes it as "tRNA-Gly". It matches the Rfam family "tRNA". From Rfam's summary of the family: Transfer RNA (tRNA) molecules are approximately 80 nucleotides in length. Their secondary structure includes four short double-helical elements and three loops (D, anti-codon, and T loops). Further hydrogen bonds mediate the characteristic L-shaped molecular structure. tRNAs have two regions of fundamental functional importance: the anti-codon, which is responsible for specific mRNA codon recognition, and the 3' end, to which the tRNAs corresponding amino acid is attached (by aminoacyl-tRNA synthetases). tRNAs cope with the degeneracy of the genetic code in two manners: having more than one tRNA (with a specific anti-codon) for a particular amino acid; and 'wobble' base-pairing, i.e. permitting non-standard base-pairing at the 3rd anti-codon position. The record is from RNAcentral. Lineage: Archaea; Thermoproteati; Thermoproteota; Thermoprotei; Thermofilales; Thermofilaceae.
GCGGCCGUAGUCUAGCCUGGAACGCGCGCACGCGCCCAGUGAGGACGCCGGCCUGCCACGCCGGAGAUCCCGGGUUCGAAUCCCGGCGGCCGCACCA